AAGAAGUCAGGCCGGAUUAAGCCAUAGCACGGUAAGAGCUAUGCUGCCUGUGAGCCCCGUCCAAGGACGUUAAAUGAAGUCAGGCCGAAAGCCACGGUUCGAGCAAGCCGUGCUGCCUGUAGCUCCAUCGUGGGGAUGUAAAAACCCGGGAGGCUGCAAACCAUGGAAGCUGUACGCAUGGGGUAGCAGACUAGUGGUUAGAGGAGACCCCUCCCAAGACACAACGCAGCAGCGGGGCCCAACACCAGGAGAAGCUGUACCCUGGUGGUAAGGACUAGAGGUUAGAGGAGACCCCCCGCACA
This 302-nucleotide long non-coding RNA is filed under the name dengue virus type 1. RNAcentral's name for it is "Dengue virus 1 partial sfRNA1". The stretch from base 233 to 302 matches the Rfam family "Flavivirus DB element". Lineage: Riboviria; Orthornavirae; Kitrinoviricota; Flasuviricetes; Amarillovirales; Flaviviridae. The record is from RNAcentral.